CAGCCGCCGCGUUAAUACGUAGGGGGCGAGCGUUGUCCGGAAUUAUUGGGCGUAAAGCGCGCGCAGGCGGUCCCUUAAGUCUGAUGUGAAAGCCCACGGCUCAACCGUGGAGGGUCAUUGGAAACUGGGGGACUUGAGUGCAGAAGAGGAGAGCGGAAUUCCACGUGUAGCGGUGAAAUGCGUAGAGAUGUGGAGGAACACCAGUGGCGAAGGCGGCUCUCUGGUCUGUAACUGACGCUGAGGCGCGAAAGCGUGGGGAGCAAACAGGAUUAGAUACCCUGGUAGUCCACGCCGUAAACGAUGAGUGCUAAGUGUUAGAGGGGUUAAACCCUUUAGUGCUGUAGCUAACGCGUUAAGCACUCCGCCUGGGGAGUACGGCCGCAAGGCUGAAACUUAAAGGAAUUGGCGGG
This 410-nucleotide ribosomal RNA is filed under the name uncultured microorganism. RNAcentral's name for it is "bacterial SSU rRNA". It matches the Rfam family "Bacterial small subunit ribosomal RNA", at positions 509 to 917 of the family's 1533-position model. The record is from RNAcentral.